RNAcentral lists this long non-coding RNA (2705 nucleotides) under Homo sapiens (human). Its description in RNAcentral is "HSALNT0043836". The record is from RNAcentral. Lineage: Eukaryota; Metazoa; Chordata; Mammalia; Primates; Hominidae.
GUUGGUAGAUUCAGCUGUGCUGGGCAUCCUGGCUGAGUAACAGAGACAGUGAAUGUAAACAAUUAAGAUGUUCUAAUAAAGGAACCCAAAGAGGGUCCCAGAGGCUAGAAUAUCUACCUCCUGGGGGCAAACAGAGGUUUCCUAAGAACAUGUCAUCUGAGCAGAGUCCUCAAGUAAGACUAGGAGUUGCAUGGGGAGAGGAGGGGAAGGUAGGCCUGCAGACGGCUAGGUGAGCACAGGCACGGGGUGUGGAACAUUUAGCUUAUGGCAAGAGCAGAGGGUACAAAGGAAGGAGAGAGAGGAGGUGGGAUGGGAAGGUCAAUUGUGCCAACUAAGAUUUUUUUCCUGUAGUAAGGGGGAGGGAGGGCCUGAAGGACUUUAAACAGGUGAGCCAUGCAAUCAGCUGUGCUUUGGGAGGAUAGCUCUGGUGGUGACAUGGAGCCUUGAGGAUGGGACUAUACGCAUGAGACUGGGAUCAGAGUGGAGGCAGCUGGCAAGGAGGCAGUCAGGAGACCCUACUAAUAUAGGGAAUCCAAAUGAAGGAGAAAAAUCAUGAUGGCACAGCUAGAAACUAAUAGAGAAGAAAAAAUACCCCAGGCAUUUUGGCCUUGUUUUACAACAUAUUUCUUAGCUUUUUGAUGGCAAUGGAAGCUUUUUUGAAGUUGUCUUUUGUUUCCUGCCUUUACUGUAUGCUCUGAAUUCCCUUCUCUUUCAUGCUUUUUGGUUUGCAUCUAUUCUUUCAUAUUGGAGGCUUUGCUCAAACAUUCUGUGGACCUUAUCUGUUUGCAUAUAUUUAAAUGCAAGGCACUGAAAGACAAAAGACCUAUUCAAGGCAGAGUACAAAGUGGACCAGGGCAGGCUGAUUUCUCAACCUCUCUGUCGUGAGUUGACUCGUGUACUCCCAAAAGCUAUGUUGAAGUUCUAACCCCGGUACCUGUGAAUGUGGCCAUGUUUGGAAAUAGGGUCUUUGCAGAUGUUAGUUAUCAAGGUUUUCUUAGUGUGAAAUAUGAACUCAUGAGCAUCUGGCCUGGGAACUGGACCAGUUUUAAAUCUCGUGUUGAGAGCCGGAAGAUGCUGGAGAAGGAAUGUGGUGGAAUGACUGCCUGAGAAUGAACCAUUCUCCAGUGAGAGGGGGCUUCGAUAUUGAAAGGGCAAUUUGGCCUUAACUUGGAAAUGCUGGAGAUUGAUUGCAUACAAUCUGUCCUGCUAGUGAGAGAAGCAAGGACUGCAUCUAAGUGCAACAUGAAGACUUUUGGUCCCAAGCUUUCCUCCAACUUCAGUGGGAGGCAGCCCAAAACCACCGUCGGUUCAAGAAUACAAGUGACCUGCAAUUCUUGGAAAGACUCCCCCAAUUCUUCUCCCAAUAUGUGGUCAGCUUUUCCAGCAGGAUUAGGGAGGGAGGAGUUUCAGCUGUGCUUCUAAGAUCUUCCAGAAUGAAUUUUCUACCUCAAAAAUCAAGGACUUUUCUGGAAACUGCAGUCAGAGGACAGAACAUCAGCCUCAAGCUGGAAAAACAUUUAUUUUGUGGUGGGGUGUGUACCUCAGUAUUCCCUGUGCUAGAAGAAAAGAAGCACUUUCAAGGAAGGUGGGUAAGGUUUUUUCCCCCUUUUCUGGAAACCAGCUGAGAAACUUUGCCUUGGAGCGCCAUCUAGAGGAAGCCUCAGCACACACACGCUGUGCUUUCUUAGCCUUAUGACAUGACCCAGGUUGAAUCCAAUGGUUGGUACAUGAGAAAUGGAAAUGUAAAGGAGAAGGCCUGCCAGUUCCUACGAAUGAGAAAUGAUCUUCCACCAUCACUAAGCACACUUACGGUUAACAUCGCGAACAUCAGCUGACACACGUUGAAGCUCCAUGAACAUCCGGAGAGCAGCUGUGAUCAUGGCAUCAACGUCGAGAGAAAAGUCAUCAAAAUGAAUGUCAUCGAUGGCAAGUUCUGACACCAGAGGGAUGUUGGCUGCCUAGAAAAGCAAAAGACAUAAGUCAAGCCAAGUUCACCAGCUUUCCCAAACCCCCAUCCUGCUCUCCUCCCCUGCUUAUCAGAAGUGCCACAUAAAUCAGGCCUGACCUGCACUUACACCCUGAUACAGCUAAACUCUGAGCUGUAAAUGUCUUUUGUUUCUGAACUGCAAAUGCCCCAAGCAAAUGAAGGUGGGGGCAGGGUUGGGGGCGGGGGGAGGGAAACUAAUCUGAAGAUAAAAUACACGCACUGGAUCUAGCCUGCAGAAUUUAUAAUACAGAACUGUCAAGUUUAUGGAAACUGUGGUCAUACAAUAUAUUCUGAUGCAUAUUACAGAGCACUAAAUGCAAGAAACAUCUGGGCAGCCAGCAGCUGUGAAUUUUAAUUGAUGCUAUUCAGGAGAAGGAGAAGGGAAUACACCACUUUGCCUUGUUUCUUAUAUCCUUAUAUCCUGUAGCUUGCACGUGUUCUUUGUUACACACGUGUUCUGUAUAUUCAGAAUGAUCGAAAGGAUCAGACAGCACAUCUCUGGUGGGAAAUAUGUUGCCUUAAUAAAAUAGAGAUAUCUGAAGGUUUAGCAUAAGCCUAUGUUUCACUGAGGAGAUCAAUUUUGCUUUCUUGUUUAGCUUCAUUCUAUAUAAACAUCACAACAUAAUUACAAUACUGGUCAUACAUAUUCAAGGUUUUCAAAACACCCAUGUUAGGCAACUGUCAAUCAGCUGCCCACAAACGAGCCUAAAGAGGAGAA